CAGGUUUCUGGUUUCAUCCCUUGCUACAUCACCUUGCUACAAGACAAUGAAAAAGGACUUGUGAAAUAUAAACAUAAAUUUUUCAAAGCCAUGGAUUUUUCUGUGUGAAAGGCUAAUAUCUGUCAAUAAAAGGCUGAUCUCUAUUCACCUUACAUGUGACACCAACUAGAGAAAAUAAACUGACAGAGUUGGUAAAUGGACCUUUACAGUCUCCUACCUUCCCCCAGUGCAAACAACCUCUGGAGUAUUUCCAAGUAUUUUAGUUUUUAUAUGGUGACACAUAGACCAAGGUGAUCUCUGAUAUUUUUUUCUUUGCUAUUACUGAGGCCUUUAGGUUAACAAACAAAAAAAGUACUAAUUGAUACUAAGGAGCAAGACAUAAUUUUCAGUAUUUAGUGUACUCCCCCAAAAUACACAGGCUGUUGCAGAACACUAAAGGAAGCUUUAACUUAGGUUUGGUAAUUUACAGAAACUUUCUGGUAUCUGUGCUGUGGAGACAACCCUGUAAGCAAAACGAGAGUCAGGUGUGCAAUGGCAGUACAGUGAAACAGACAAUUUUGCACAGAUGAAUUUAGUUAUUAAAAUAGUUGUACCUCUUCCAAGUCUGUCGGAGCUGUAACAGUUGCCAUCCUGCCCAGGCAGUUGUUUUCCAGAGCUCAAGAACCACAAAAAUUUCAAUUUUUUUUAAAUAAAUCUGCUACAAAUUGAUUAGGUUAAUUACACUCAUUGGAUAAGUCAAGGCAUCACACUAUAACCCUUUGGAAAAGGGGCCUCAGCGCUGAUGGACAUCUGUGACAUAUGGGCAAUAUAGGGGAACUCUCCUCCUGCAGCUGCUUUUUGUACAAUGGGCGUGGAAAGUGCUUGCAGACAUAUCUCUAAUAGAUGCUUCUGGGAAGAAGCUUGCUUUCCUGUUUUUAAAAGGGGAAGCUUUACAAAAAAUAAUAAAUGUAUUUCUGAAAGCUAAAAAAGAGGAUCCAGCCUGCAGGCGUGGUAUUUCUCCUGUGCCAGGACAAAGUACUCUGCAGUCGCUCAUCAGAGAAGCUGUGACACAGCGUUGCCGUCAGGUGGGGAAAGACCGUCCUCCUUUGGCCCCUGAGGAGGGAGGCUGAGCGGGUUCAAAACCUCCAGGGAUGGAGACGGCACAACCUCGCUGGCCCUGGCCCCACCACUGGCUCCUUUCCAUGCACCUUGUCACAGCACCUGCCGGUAAGAAAAUAAAAACAUAUUGGCUGGAAUAAGGAAGAGAGGAAUUAAUUAAAUAUAUUUCAAUCAGCAGGGACUAUUACAGCGGUCACAGGUGUGACAGCGGUGACAGUGACACCAGGAACAGCAGUCUGGUUCCAGUCGCUAUUUUUAUUAACGACCUGGAUGCUGGACUGUGGCAUGUGCUUUUGACCUGGGCAGAUGAUGUGAAGCUGGGAGAUGACAUGAAGCUGGGAGUCGUGCCCUGGAGGACAGGAGUAGAACUCAAAAUGAUCUUGACAAACUGGAAAAGUGAUUUGGAAAAUAAAAGAGGUUAUGCUGGAAAAGGACAAGCAUAAACAUGUGUUUGUACAUCCC
Dromaius novaehollandiae (emu) is the source of this 1560-nucleotide long non-coding RNA. RefSeq lists it as uncharacterized. The transcript has 2 exons. The record is from RefSeq and is a predicted model, not a curated record. Lineage: Eukaryota; Metazoa; Chordata; Aves; Casuariiformes; Dromaiidae.